UUGUACAGUGAACACAACAGCCAUAACUUCUUCCGGGUGAACACAACAGCCAUAACGACCAUUUAGAAAGCCUCCACUAUGUGUUAGGCAUUGCAGUGCAAGAGGGUAUCCUUUUAACUCUUGCCAUAGCUUGGUGAGAGUGGACGUUGUUUUCUUAAUAAUACAGAGGAAAGGCCACGUGAGGGCACAGCAAGAAGGCAGCCGUCUGGAAGCCAAGGAGAGAGUCCUCACCAGAAACCAACAGUGAUGGCACCUUGAUGUUGGACGUCUAGCCUCCAAAACUGUGUGGAAGACUGUAGUGCAGCGUGGAAGAAGUCUGGUCACUGCUUUGAGACGUGUGGAGUCUAUUAGAAGAGGCCGCACAAGGCUGUCCCAUUAGCACAGGAGAUAGGGUCUUUAAAUGGGAGCAAUCACGGCAGUAUACGGAAUGGCCCCCGUGGAGAGGGAUUUCCAGCAAGUUCUUUGGCGUUAGCUUUUCUGUCUUCUUCAGAUCCUGAGGUUAUGGGCAAGCCUCCAGCCAGAGCUUCACACAAUGGCUGGUGACUGCUCCCAGGCCACAGUGGUGCCCUUCAUUUGCCAAAGGAUUGCCACCAACCCCUAGUUGCCCACUAAUCUUUACCUUCUGUGUCCUCCACUGUGUCCUCGGACACGCUAUCAAACUUUAACAUCCAGCUUGGUGUCUUUUGUUAUUUUUCUGUAGGAGGUCGGGUGCCAUCAUUUAGACAUCUCUUGACACACACAUAGAGGUCACACAGAGAGGCCCUCAGGAAGAAAACAACGCACAUUUCCAGUAUGCUUGAUACAGCUCUCAUUGGUUGAGUGGCUGCAGCAUGGUGAGAAGGUGCUCACUGAUAGACGGAUCUGCCAGGCUGGAUCUCAGGGCGUGAGAAGAUAGGAUAGUUCUCAGAGUAUCAGGAAAGUAUAUAUCAAUGUCAUGCACUGUAUUACUCCACGAGGUGACUAUUUCAAAGUUCAGUAGUGCUAUAACAAAUGUAGCUUACUGGCUAAGCAUGCAGCCUUUGGAAUCAGACAGACCUGGAUGCAUAUUAGGAUUUGUGAUUCACUAGUGCUGUCAUUGUGCUCUGCACCACUGGACAAUGAAUAGCGCCCAUCGCCCAGAGAUGUUGAAAGGAUUAAGUGAGAUACAGCAUGUAAAAUCCCCAACAGUACUCAAUAUCUAGUAAGCACUCAGUGUAGGUGAUGAUAAUGAUGAUUACUUAAUAUUCCUCAAAAUAUAUUCCACCCAGGAAUAGUGCACUUGGGUAUGUUAACAACUAUAAUGUGGGGGAAAAGUUUCAGAGGUCACAGAGAAUAUCAACAUACUCACAGCUCUGUGGGGUUGUGCAGUAAAGCGGUCAGUAGAGUUUUGUGUAACCCACCUUGUCCCAAGUUUAUUUGAAGAUGGAAUCUAUUUUCCUCUUAGAACUACUAAUCUCACUAGCGUGCCCCAGAGCACUGUUUCAAUGAUGCUCAUUUGUGAAAAUAAUUCUUAGUUGUGUGACUAGUUAAUCAGAAUCUACUGUUUUAACUGCUGGCUUCACUCUGAAACAGAAGCCACCCAGGGGCGCCUGGGUGGCUCAGUCGGUUAAGCGUCCGACUUCGGCUCAGGUCAUGAUCUCACUGUCCGUGAGUUCGAGCCCCGCGUCGGGCUCUGUGCCGACAGCUCGGAGCCUGGAGCCUGCUUCAGAUUCUGUGUCUCCCUCUCUGACCCUCCCCCCUUCA
Long non-coding RNA from Acinonyx jubatus (cheetah), 1722 nucleotides. RefSeq lists it as uncharacterized. The transcript has 3 exons. The record is from RefSeq and is a predicted model, not a curated record. NCBI's taxonomy places the organism in Eukaryota, Metazoa, Chordata, Mammalia, Carnivora, Felidae.